UGCCAGCAGCCGCGGUAACACGGGGGGCGCAAGCGUUAUUCGGAUUCAUUGGGCGUAAAGCGCGCGUAGGCGGUUUGGCAAGUCGGACGUGAAAUCUCCACUGCUCAACAGGGAGAGGCCGUUCGAAACUGCUGAACUUGAGGACCGGAGAGGUAGGCGGAAUUCCAGGUGUAGCGGUGGAAUGCGUAGAUAUCUGGAAGAACACCAGUGGCGAAGGCGGCCUACUGGACGGUUCCUGACGCUGAGGCGCGAAGGCGUGGGUAGCGAACGGGAUUAGAUA
This 280-nucleotide ribosomal RNA is filed under the name uncultured bacterium. RNAcentral describes it as "partial 16S ribosomal RNA". It matches the Rfam family "Bacterial small subunit ribosomal RNA", at positions 506 to 784 of the family's 1533-position model. The record is from RNAcentral.